CCUACGGGUGGCAGCAGUGAGGAAUAUUGGUCAAUGGGCGAGAGCCUGAACCAGCCAAGUCGCGUGAGGGAGUACUGCCCUAUGGGUUGUAAACCUCUUUUGUCGGGGAGCAAAAGCCGGACGUGUCCGGCUGUGAGAGUACCCGAAGAAAAAGCAUCGGCUAACUCCGUGCCAGCAGCCGCGGUAAUACGGAGGAUGCGAGCGUUAUCCGGAUUUAUUGGGUUUAAAGGGUGCGCAGGCGGAUUUUUAAGUCAGCGGUCAAAUCGUGGGGCUCAACCCCGGCCUGCCGUUGAAACUGGCGGCCUCGAGUGGGCGAGAAGUAUGCGGAAUGCGUGGUGUAGCGGUGAAAUGCAUAGAUAUCACGCAGAACUCCGAUUGCGAAGGCAGCAUACCGGCGCCCGACUGACGCUGAGGCACGAAAGCGUGGGUAUCGAACAGGAUUAGAUACCCCGGUAGUC
RNAcentral lists this ribosomal RNA (458 nucleotides) under uncultured bacterium. Its description in RNAcentral is "partial 16S ribosomal RNA". It matches the Rfam family "Bacterial small subunit ribosomal RNA", at positions 338 to 795 of the family's 1533-position model. The record is from RNAcentral.